UGAGAGGGAGCCUGAGAAAUGGCUACCACAUCCAAGGAUGGCAGCAGGCGCGCAAAUUACCCACUCCCAGCUUGGGGAGGUAGUGACGAAAAAUAACAAUGCGGGACUCUAAGAGGCCCCGUAAUUGGAAUGAGUACACCUUAAAUCGUUUAACGAGUAUCAAUUGGAGGGCAAGUCUGGUGCCAGCAGCCGCGGUAAUUCCAGCUCCAAUAGCGUAUAUUAAAGUUGCUGCAGUUAAAAAGCUCGUAGUUGGAUCUGGGGCUUGAGGUCGCUGUCUAUCGUUUCGGCGAUGACGGUGAUGCUCAGCUCUGCUUGCCGGUGACUGUUGCGGUGUUCUUCACUGAGCGCUGUAGCAGCACGGCACGUUUACUUUGAAAAAAUUAGAGUGCUCAAAGCGUGCUUGUCGCUUGAAUAAUGUUGCAUGGAAUAAUGGAAUAGGACCUCGGUUCUAUUUUGUUGGUUUUCGGAGCUUGAGGUAAUGAUUAAGAGGGACGAACGGGGGCAUUCGUAUUGCGGUGUUAGAGGUGAAAUUCUUGGAUCGCCGCAAGACGGACUACUGCGAAAGCAUUUGCCAAGAACGCUUUCAUUAAUUAAGAACGAAAGUCAGAGCUUCGAAGACGAUCAGACACCGUCCUAGUUCUGACCAUAAACGAUGCCGACCAGCGAUCCGUAGUGGUUGCUUUAUGGACCCUACGGGCAGCCUCCGGGAAACCAAAGUAUUUGGGUUCCGGGGGAAGUAUGGUUGCAAAGCUGAAACUUAAAGGAAUUGACGGAAGGGCACACCAGGAGUGGAGCCUGCGGCUUAAUUUGACCCAACACGGGAAAACUCACCCGGUCCGGACACCGUAAGGAUUGACAGACUGAUAGCUCUUUCUUGAUUCGGUGGAUGGUGGUGCAUGGCCGUUCUUAGUUGGUGGAGUGAUUUGUCUGGUUAAUUCCGAUAACGAACGAGACUCUAGCCUGCUAAGUAGUGUUGCUAUUGUUAUAUGGUUGACACUUCUUAGAGGGACAAGUGGCAUUUAGCCACGCGAAAUUGAGCAAUAACAGGUCUGUGAUGCCCUUAGAUGUCCGGGGCCGCACGCGCGCUACACUGGAGAAGUCAGCGUGUGUUAUCCAAGUCCGAAAGGACUGGGUAAUCCGUUGAACCUUCUUCGUGCUUGGGACUGUGGCUUGGAACUAUUCCACAUGAACGAGGAAUUCCUAGUAAUUGCAAGUCAUAAGCUUGCGUUGAUUACGUCCCUGCCCUUUGUACACACCGCCCGUCGCUACUACCGAUUGAAUGGUUUAGCAAGGUCCUCGGAUCGUGGCCGUAGGGGCACGCAAGUGUUUCUGCGGUUUGCGAGAAGACGACCAAACUUGAUCAUUUAGAGGAAGUAAAAGUCGUAACAAGGUU
Molecule: ribosomal RNA, 1393 nt
Filed under: metagenome
Description: SSU rRNA
Rfam family: Eukaryotic small subunit ribosomal RNA
Source: RNAcentral